GACGAACGCUGGCGGCGUGCCUAAUACAUGCAAGUUGAGCGCUGAAGGUUGGUACUUGUACCAACUGGAUGAGCAGCGAACGGGUGAGUAACGCGUGGGGAAUCUGCCUUUGAGCGGGGGACAACAUUUGGAAACGAAUGCUAAUACCGCAUAAAAACUUUAAACACAAGUUUUAAGUUUGAAAGAUGCAAUUGCAUCACUCAAAGAUGAUCCCGCGUUGUAUUAGCUAGUUGGUGAGGUAAAGGCUCACCAAGGCGAUGAUACAUAGCCGACCUGAGAGGGUGAUCGGCCACAUUGGGACUGAGACACGGCCCAAACUCCUACGGGAGGCAGCAGUAGGGAAUCUUCGGCAAUGGACGAAAGUCUGAACGAGCAACGCCGCGUGAGUGAAGAAGGUUGUCGGAUCGUAAAACUCUGUUGGUAGAGAAGAACGUUGGUGAGAGUGGAAAGCUCAUCAAGUGACGGUAACUACCCAGAAAGGGACGGCUAACUACGUG
This 497-nucleotide ribosomal RNA is filed under the name uncultured bacterium. RNAcentral describes it as "partial 16S ribosomal RNA". It matches the Rfam family "Bacterial small subunit ribosomal RNA", at positions 28 to 507 of the family's 1533-position model. The record is from RNAcentral.